AUAUUCACAGCAGGAAUACAAAGGUGAUUGUUCCCAGGCAAGGCUUUCCUACUGCAUUUUAGGGUGCGCUGAUUUCCGGAAUUUCCCCGGAUAUGGCAACCUUCACUCCAUAAUUUGUGAUAACGGGGGACUGAUUUCAUGUUCUCUUC
This is a small nuclear RNA of Ochotona princeps (American pika), 149 nucleotides long. Its record names the gene U1. It matches the Rfam family "U1 spliceosomal RNA". Rfam says of the family: U1 is a small nuclear RNA (snRNA) component of the spliceosome (involved in pre-mRNA splicing). Its 5' end forms complementary base pairs with the 5' splice junction, thus defining the 5' donor site of an intron. The record is from Ensembl. NCBI's taxonomy places the organism in Eukaryota, Metazoa, Chordata, Mammalia, Lagomorpha, Ochotonidae.